AAGGAGCCCUGGCGGCGUGGAUAAGACAUGCAAGUCGAACGAGAGAAUUGCUAGCUUGCUAAUAAUUCUCUAGUGGCGCACGGGUGAGUAACACGUGAGUAACCUGCCCCCGAGAGCGGGAUAGCCCUGGGAAACUGGGAUUAAUACCGCAUAGUAUCGAAAGAUUAAAGCAGCAAUGCGCUUGGGGAUGGGCUCGCGGCCUAUUAGUUAGUUGGUGAGGUAACGGCUCACCAAGGCGAUGACGGGUAGCCGGUCUGAGAGGAUGUCCGGCCACACUGGAACUGAGACACGGUCCAGACACCUACGGGUGGCAGCAGUCGAGAAUCAUUCACAAUGGGGGAAACCCUGAUGGUGCGACGCCGCGUGGGGGAAUGAAGGUCUUCGGAUUGUAAACCCCUGUCAUGUGGGAGCAAAUUAAAAAGAUAGUACCACAAGAGGAAGAGACGGCUAACUCUGUGCCAGCAGCCGCGGUAAUACAGAGGUCUCAAGCGUUGUUCGGAAUCACUGGGCGUAAAGCGUGCGUAGGCUGUUUCGUAAGUCGUGUGUGAAAGGCGCGGGCUCAACCCGCGGACGGCACAUGAUACUGCGAGACUAGAGUAAUGGAGGGGGAACCGGAAUUCUCGGUGUAGCAGUGAAAUGCGUAGAUAUCGAGAGGAACACUCGUGGCGAAGGCGGGUUCCUGGACAUUAACUGACGCUGAGGCACGAAGGCCAGGGGACCC
Molecule: ribosomal RNA, 721 nt
Filed under: uncultured bacterium
Lineage: Bacteria
Description: bacterial SSU rRNA
Rfam family: Bacterial small subunit ribosomal RNA
Source: RNAcentral